Molecule: ribosomal RNA, 516 nt
Filed under: Helicobacter pylori
Lineage: Bacteria; Pseudomonadati; Campylobacterota; Epsilonproteobacteria; Campylobacterales; Helicobacteraceae
Description: bacterial LSU rRNA
Rfam family: Bacterial large subunit ribosomal RNA
Source: RNAcentral
AAGCCUCUAAGCAUAUCCAUAGUCGUCCGUACCGCAAACCGACACAGGUAGAUGAGAUGAGUAUUCUAAGGCGCGUGAAAGAACUCUGGUUAAGGAACUCUGCAAACUAGCACCGUAAGUUCGCGAUAAGGUGUGCCGCAGCAAUGCGGUCUCAGCAAAGAGUCCCUCCCGACUGUUUACCAAAAACACAGCACUUUGCCAACUCGUAAGAGGAAGUAUAAGGUGUGACGCCUGCCCGGUGCUCGAAGGUUAAGAGGAUGCGUCAGUCGCAAGAUGAAGCGUUGAAUUGAAGCCCGAGUAAACGGCGGCCGUAACUAUAACGGUCCUAAGGUAGCGAAAUUCCUUGUCGGUUAAAUACCGACCUGCAUGAAUGGCGUAACGAGAUGGGAGCUGUCUCAACCAGAGAUUCAGUGAAAUUGUAGUGGAGGUGAAAAUUCCUCCUACCCGCGGCAAGACGGAAAGACCCCGUGGACCUUUACUACAACUUAGCACUGCUAAUGGGAAUAUCAUGCGCAG